Canis lupus familiaris (dog) is the source of this 1678-nucleotide long non-coding RNA. RefSeq lists it as uncharacterized. The transcript is spliced from 3 exons. Lineage: Eukaryota; Metazoa; Chordata; Mammalia; Carnivora; Canidae. The record is from RefSeq and is a predicted model, not a curated record.
GAGGGAGGAAAGGAGGAACAGAUGGGGGUCACCCAGGUCCUAAUUCUCAUGCAAAGGCCCCCAUCCCUCUCCCCUCUCUCCUGGAGGAGUCCUGCCCUGAGCUGCAUCUUCUCUCACUACCCCGAUGACGUCAAUCCAGUUCGAGGCCAUAGAUCUUCUGGGGUGCCUACUGUGUGUGCGUCUUUCACUUCUAAUAAUUAACAUUAGCUUCCAUUAAGAUACUUUCCCUCUGCUGGGUUAUGAGAAACUGAAACAGGAAAAAGACCUAGUUUCCUACUCUCAGAGUUUAUCUUUUCCUAGUCCCAAAUCUAAAUAGGUCAAAAAUCUGUAGCCUUGUGUGCGGAAGAUAAUGAAUGAAUGUACGUGGAUCUGACUGUCAACCCCUCAUGGCAACCUUGGGUUACACUUACAACCUUAUAGGACCAUGGGGUAGCCUGCGGGCAUCUUCAGUUACCGCGUGAUGGUCCUUCUCCCUCUAGUUUCUUGCCUGCGUAUCACACACCGCUAGGCCCAUCCUGCCCGAACAUACGCGGCCUGCCUUCCGUGGUUAUCCAAAGUUGCCGGCUUGGAAUUCAAGAUCCGCCACAGCCAGUCCCAACCCGCCUACCACUAAUCUUCCUCUGUCCUUGUAAUGUUUCCAAGUUCUUCGGAGGGUAAGGGUGCAAUGGGCAGAGUGAAUGAAUGGAUCGAUGAAUGAAUCCAUAAAUAAAACAAUAAAAUGGGCAAGCAAACAUCAAAAAACUCAUCUCCAUCUCCAAGCUUUGGCUCAUGCAGUUACCACAGGAAUUGUUCUUCUCCCUGGCUUUCAUCCAUCCAGUUUCGAUGAAGGUCUACUUCCUAUCUCAAAGGUUUCUCAAAUUCAGUACAAUCCAAGUGAAAUACGUGAUCUCUACACUCUGUAUCUCAGGGACUGGAACCACCGCCGCCAAUCAAGUUUUCGCAGCCCAGAAAGGUUUGGCUUGGGGAAGACAGGCAUGAUGUCCACAGUCAUCUGACUGGCUGGCUGGGUUUGCAAGCCUAGCCCUCCAUUUGCUUCCACAUCUUUUAGGGCAAUUUCUUCCACUUGGGCUACACUGCCAACAAGGCUGCCACGAGAGAGGGUGGCAGAUAUGACGCGUGCAUUCAGGUCAGCAGUGCAAAUCUCCGACAUGGCAUUUUUCCAUUCAGGAAAAUGUCUGUCAGCCCCUUGACCAACUUAUUUGAAGAUCCUGGCAAUGAAGUGGCUGUUACACAAGUGGCACAGAGACCUCUGCUGCUCUUUGAAAGAGACUGCUUCUGAAGGAACAUGAAACUGCAAAAAAUAUCGGCUUGUAUUAGACUGUGACUAUGCGUUACAUGUGUUUUAAAGAAAAGAAGGAAAUUGAAGAGAAGCAUGAAGUCAUUUCAAGACUGAUGCUGAGCUAUCCUACCACUCAUUUCACUGGAACUUGGGCUGAUGAGAGAAAGUAUCUCUUCCAUUAUUACAAUUUUCUCUAGGUUAUUCUGAAAAGUUCUACUCUGGUUUCAGUGAUGGAAAAAAAAACAAAAAACCCAACCCAACAGAACCUUAUUCUCCAUUUCACUAAAUCAAAAAUCCACUCUCAAAUUGUUUAUAUUCUCGGUCUCCUUAAAACACUGGCUUCAUAUGUUUUAUGUUCUGCAUAUUUUCACUUAUAUCAUGGACAUUCCCCAUGUUCUU